RNAcentral lists this ribosomal RNA (253 nucleotides) under uncultured bacterium. Its description in RNAcentral is "partial 16S ribosomal RNA". It matches the Rfam family "Bacterial small subunit ribosomal RNA", at positions 524 to 776 of the family's 1533-position model. The record is from RNAcentral.
UACGUAGGGUGCGAGCGUUGUCCGGAAUUAUUGGGCGUAAAGGGCUCGUAGGCGGUUUGUCGCGUCGGGAGUGAAAACCCAGGGCUUAACCGUGGAAGUGCAUGGGAAACUGCAGAGCUUGAGUACUUAAGAGGAUCGCGGAAUUCCCGGUGUAGAGGUGAAAUUCGUAGAUAUCGGGAGGAACACCAGUGGCGAAGGCGGCGAUCUGGGAAGAUACUGACGCUGAGGUGCGAAAGCGUGGGGAGCAAACAGG